GCGAGUGAGAGGGAAGAGCCCAAGAUUGAAAGCUGGCGUCUUCGGCGUCCGCAUUGUAAUCUCAAGAAGUGUUUUCCGCUUCGGACCAUGCCUAAGUCCCUUGGAAAAGGGCAUCAUAGAGGGUGAUAAUCCCGUACAUGGCAUGGAGCGCCCGAAGCUUUGUGAUACGCUUUCUAAGAGUCGAGUUGUUUGGGAAUGCAGCUCAAAAUGGGUGGUAAAUGCCAUCUAAGGCUAAAUAUUGGGGAGAGACCGAUAGCGAACAAGUACAGUGAUGGAAAGAUGAAAAGAACUUUGAAAAGAGAGUUAAACAGUACGUGAAAUUGCCAAAAGGGAAGGGUAGGAGGUCAGAGAUGCGUUCUGGGAUUCAGCCUUGCUUUUGCUUGGUGUUUUUCCCAGAUUGCAGGCCAACGUCGGUUUUGGUCGCUGGAGAAGGGUGGAAGGAAUGUGGCACCUCUCGGGGUGUGUUAUAGCCUUCUACUGGAUACAGUGACCGGGACCGAGGACAGCAGCGUACUCGCAAGAGCGGGCCUUCGGGCACCUUUACGCUUAGGGCGUUGGCAUAAUGGCCC
This 569-nucleotide ribosomal RNA is filed under the name Pseudozyma sp. LCF-11. RNAcentral describes it as "eukaryotic LSU rRNA". It matches the Rfam family "Eukaryotic large subunit ribosomal RNA", at positions 89 to 640 of the family's 3401-position model. Lineage: Eukaryota; Fungi; Basidiomycota; Ustilaginomycetes; Ustilaginales; Ustilaginaceae. The record is from RNAcentral.